AUUCUUUCUGACAAAUUUUGCAUUUCAAUGGCAUUUUACAGUAUGUAUAAUUUCAUGGCUUUUUAAACUAGAUGGCUGAGUGAAUUCUUUUUCACAAAUUUUGCAUUUUAAUAGUAAUUAGCUAGAAUAUUUAAUUUCAUGAUAUUUUAGGCUAGAACAAUAAGCGUAUUCUUUCUAACAAAUUUUGCACUUAAAUGGCUUUUUACCAGUAUGU
Molecule: non-coding RNA, 214 nt
Organism: Biomphalaria pfeifferi
Lineage: Eukaryota; Metazoa; Mollusca; Gastropoda; Planorbidae
Source: the annotation of a GenBank genome assembly